GAUGAACGCUGGCGGCGUGCCUAACACAUGCAAGUCGAGCGGACGGACGAGAAGCUUGUUUCUUUGAUGUUAGCGGCGGGCGGGUGAGUAACACGUGGAUCACCUACUUAUAUGACUGGGAUAAUUACGGGAAACCGGAUCUAAUACCGGAUGAUAUUUUGAACCGCAUGGUUCAAAAGUGAAAGACGGCCUUGGUGUCUCUAAUAGAUGGUUCCGCGCUGCAUUAGCUAGUUGGUAGGGUAACGGCCUAUCAAGGCUACGAGGCGUAGCCGACGUGAGAGGCUGAUCGGCCACACGGGAACUGAGACACGGUCCAGACUCCUACGGGAGGCAGCAGUAGGGAAUCUUCGGCAACGGGCGGAAGCCUGACAGAGCGACGCCGCGUGAGUGAUGAAGGUCUUCGGAUCGUAAAGCCCUGUUAUUGGGGAAGAACAGAUGUGGAAGGAGCUGUGGCCAUCUUGACGGUACCUAAUCAAAAAGCAACGGCUAACUACGUG
RNAcentral lists this ribosomal RNA (497 nucleotides) under uncultured bacterium. RNAcentral's name for it is "partial 16S ribosomal RNA". It matches the Rfam family "Bacterial small subunit ribosomal RNA", at positions 28 to 507 of the family's 1533-position model. The record is from RNAcentral.